GAAUGCUGACAUAAGUAACGAUAAAGCGGGUGAAAAGCCCGCUCGCCGGAAGACCAAGGGUUCCUGUCCAACGUUAAUCGGGGCAGGGUGAGUCGACCCCUAAGGCGAGGCCGAAAGGCGUAGUCGAUGGGAAACGGGUUAAUAUUCCCGUACUUGGUGUUACUGCGAAGGGGGGACGGAGAAGGCUAUGUUGGCCGGGCGACGGUUGUCCCGGUUUAAGCGUGUAGGCUGGUUUUCCAGGCAAAUCCGGAAAAUCAAGGCUGAGGCGUGAUGACGAGGCACUACGGUGCUGAAGCAACAAAUGCCCUGCUUCCAGGAAAAGCCUCUAAGCAUCAGGUAACAUCAAAUCGUACCCCAAACCGACACAGGUGGUCAGGUAGAGAAUACCAAGGCGCUUGAGAGAACUCGGGUGAAGGAACUAGGCAAAAUGGUGCCGUAACUUCGGGAGAAGGCACGCUGACACGUAGGUGAAGUGAUUUACUCAUGGAGCUGAAGUCAGUCGAAGAUACCAGCUGGCUGCAACUGUUUAUUAAAAACACAGCACUGUGCAAACACGAAAGUGGACGUAUACGGUGUGACGCCUGCCCGGUGCCGGAAGGUUAAUUGAUGGGGUCAGCGCAAGCGAAGCUCCUGAUCGAAGCCCCGGUAAACGGCGGCCGUAACUAUAACGGUCCUAAGGUAGCGAAAUUCCUUGUCGGGUAAGUUCCGACCUGCACGAAUGGCGUAAUGAUGGCCAGGCUGUCUCCACCCGAGACUCAGUGAAAUUGAACUCGCUGUGAAGAUGCAGUGUACCCGCGGCAAGACGGAAAGACCCCGUGAACCUUUACUAUAGCUUGACACUGAACAUUGAGCCUUGAUGUGUAGGAUAGGUGGGAGGCUUUGAAGUGUGGACGCCAGUCUGCAUGGAGCCGACCUUGAAAUACCACCCUUUAAUGUUUGAUGUUCUAACGUGGACCCGUUACCCGGGUUGCGGACAGUGUCUGGUGGGUAGUUUGACUGGGGCGGUCUCCUCCUAAAGAGUAACGGAGGAGCACGAAGGUUGGCUAAUCCUGGUCGGACAUCAGGAGGUUAGUGCAAUGGCAUAAGCCAGCUUGACUGCGAGCGUGACGGCGCGAGCAGGUGCGAAAGCAGGUCAUAGUGAUCCGGUGGUUCUGAAUGGAAGGGCCAUCGCUCAACGGAUAAAAGGUACUCCGGGGAUAACAGGCUGAUACCGCCCAAGAGUUCAUAUCGACGGCGGUGUUUGGCACCUCGAUGUCGGCUCAUCACAUCCUGGGGCUGAAGUAGGUCCCAAGGGUAUGGCUGUUCGCCAUUUAAAGUGGUACGCGAGCUGGGUUUAGAACGUCGUGAGACAGUUCGGUCCCUAUCUGCCGUGGGCGCUGGAGAACUGAGGGGGGCUGCUCCUAGUACGAGAGGACCGGAGUGGACGCAUCACUGGUGUUCGGGUUGUCAUGCCAAUGGCACUGCCCGGUAGCUAAAUGCGGAAGAGAUAAGUGCUGAAAGCAUCUAAGCACGAAACUUGCCCCGAG
This 1526-nucleotide ribosomal RNA is filed under the name Salmonella enterica. RNAcentral's name for it is "partial 23S ribosomal RNA". It matches the Rfam family "Bacterial large subunit ribosomal RNA", at positions 1292 to 2803 of the family's 2925-position model. RNAcentral also lists the same sequence under 1 other name. Lineage: Bacteria; Pseudomonadati; Pseudomonadota; Gammaproteobacteria; Enterobacterales; Enterobacteriaceae. The record is from RNAcentral.